RNAcentral lists this ribosomal RNA (253 nucleotides) under uncultured bacterium. Its description in RNAcentral is "partial 16S ribosomal RNA". It matches the Rfam family "Bacterial small subunit ribosomal RNA", at positions 524 to 776 of the family's 1533-position model. The record is from RNAcentral.
CACGUAGGGCGCAAGCGUUGUCCGGAAUUAUUGGGCGUAAAGAGCUCGUAGGUGGUUUGUUACGUCCGCUGUGAAAUCCUAGGGCUUAACCCUGGGCUUGCAGUGGAUACGGGCAGACUAGAGGUAGGUAGGGGAGAAUGGAAUUCCUGGUGUAGCGGUGAAAUGCGCAGAUAUCAAGUGGAACACCAGUGGCGAAGGCGAGUCUCUGGACAUUUCCUGACGCUGAGGCACGAAAGCCAGGGGAGCAAACGGG